RNAcentral lists this ribosomal RNA (388 nucleotides) under uncultured bacterium. RNAcentral describes it as "bacterial SSU rRNA". It matches the Rfam family "Bacterial small subunit ribosomal RNA", at positions 29 to 415 of the family's 1533-position model. The record is from RNAcentral.
AUUGAACGCUGGCGGCAUGCUUUACACAUGCAAGUCGAACGGCAGCACGGGAGCUUGCUCCUGGUGGCGAGUGGCGAACGGGUGAGUAAUGCAUCGGAACGUACCCAGUAGUGGGGGAUAGCCCGGCGAAAGCCGGAUUAAUACCGCAUAUUUCCUGAGGGAGAAAGCGGGGGACCUUCGGGCCUCGCGCUACUGGAGCGGCUGAUGUCGGAUUAGCUAGUUGGUGAGGUAAAGGCUCACCAAGGCGACGAUCCGUAGCUGGUCUGAGAGGAUGAUCAGCCACACUGGGACUGAGACACGGCCCAGACUCCUACGGGAGGCAGCAGUGGGGAAUUUUGGACAAUGGGCGCAAGCCUGAGUCCAGCCAUGCCGCGUGAGUGAAGAGGCC